AUGAACGCUAGCGACAGGCUAACACAUGCAAGUCGAGGGGUAACAGGGUAGCAAUACCGCUGGCGACCGGCGCACGGGUGAGUAACGCGUAUGCAACCUGCCUAUAACUGGGGAAUAGCUCCCUGAAAGGGGGAAUUAACACCGCAUAACACUAUUGAUUCGCAUGGAUUUGUAGUUAAAUGUAGCGAUACAGGUUAUAGAUGGGCAUGCGUGACAUUAGCUAGUUGGUGAGGUAACGGCUCACCAAGGCUACGAUGUCUAGGGGUUCUGAGAGGAAGGUCCCCCACACUGGUACUGAGACACGGACCAGACUCCUACGGGAGGCAGCAGUGAGGAAUAUUGGUCAAUGGGCGCAAGCCUGAACCAGCCAUGUCGCGUGCAGGAAGAACCUGCCCUAUGGGUUGUAAACUGCUUUUAUAGUAGAAGAAACACAUCUACGUGUAGAUGUCUGCCAGUAUACUAUGAAUAAGCAUCGGCUAACUCCGUGCCAGCCGCCGC
This 498-nucleotide ribosomal RNA is filed under the name uncultured bacterium. RNAcentral describes it as "bacterial SSU rRNA". It matches the Rfam family "Bacterial small subunit ribosomal RNA", at positions 29 to 518 of the family's 1533-position model. The record is from RNAcentral.